GGUGGGUGUGGUGGUGCACACCUGCAAUUCCAGUAACUUGGGAGGCUGAGUCAGGAGGAUCGCAGAUUUGAGGCCAGCCUCAGCAACUUAGUGAGACCCUGUCUCAA
Molecule: small RNA, 107 nt
Filed under: Marmota monax (woodchuck)
Lineage: Eukaryota; Metazoa; Chordata; Mammalia; Rodentia; Sciuridae
Source: RNAcentral